RNAcentral lists this ribosomal RNA (440 nucleotides) under uncultured bacterium. RNAcentral describes it as "partial 16S ribosomal RNA". It matches the Rfam family "Bacterial small subunit ribosomal RNA", at positions 338 to 795 of the family's 1533-position model. The record is from RNAcentral.
CCUACGGGAGGCAGCAGUGGGGAAUAUUGGACAAUGGGGGAAAGCCUGAUCCAGCGACGCCGCGUGAGUGAAGAAGUAUUUCGGUACGUAAAGCUCUAUCAGCAGGAAAGAAAAUGACGGUACUAGUCCAAGAAGCCCCGGAUAAAUACGUGCCAGCAGCCGCGGUAAUACGGAGGGGGCAAGCGUAAUCCGGAUUUACUGGGGGUAAAGGGAGCGUAGGCGGCAGCGCAAGUCUGGAGUGAAAUGCCCGGGUCCAACCCCGGAACUGCUCUUGAAACUGUGAAGAUGGAGUGCAGGAGAGGUAAGCGGAAUUCCCGGUGUAGCGGUGAAAUGCGUAGAUAUCAGGAGGAACACCGGCGGCGAAGGCGGCGUACUGGACGGAAACUGACGUUGAGGCGCGAAGGCGUGGGGAGCAAACAGGAUUAGAUACCCGAGUAGUC